UGGUGGACAGACAAAAGGGACAGACAAAACCAGAUCAGAGUCCAGGAGGUACAGAGUAGCAGACAGGCUCGUGGUCAAGGCAGGCAGAAAGGUCAGGCAGGCGGGUACAGAGUCCAGAACAGGCAAGGGUCAAAACCAAAACUAGAAAAAGGACAAUAGCAAAGGCAGGGUGUACGGGGGAAAAAAACGCUGGUUUACUAGGAACAUACAAGACGAACUGGCAGAGAGACAGGAAACACAGGGAUAAAUACACUGGCACAGAGAGACAGGAAACACAGGGAUAAAUACACUGGCACAGAGAGACAGGAAACACAGGGAUAAAUACACUGGGGCAGAGAGACAGGAAACACAGGGAUAAAUACACUGGCACAGAGAGACAGGAAACACAGGGAUAAAUACACUGGCACAGAGAGACAGGAAACACAGGGAUAAAUACACUGGCACAGAGAGACAGGAAACACAGGGAUAAAUACACUGGCACAGAGAGACAGGAAACACAGGGAUAAAUACACUGGCACAGAGAGACAGGAAACAGGGAUAAAUACACUGGGGCAGAGAGACAGGAAACACAGGGAUAAAUGCACUGGCACAGAGAGACAGGAAACACAGGGAUAAAUACACUGGCACAGAGAGACAGGAAACACAGGGAUAAAUACACUGGCACAGAGAGACUGGAAACACAGGGAUAAAUAGACUGGGGCAGAGAGACAGGAAACACAGGGAUAAAUACACUGGCACAGAGAGACAGGAAACACAGGGAUAAAUACACUGGGGCAGAGAGACAGGAAACACAGGGAUAAAUACACUGGCACAGAGAGACAGGAAACACAGGGAUAAAUACACUGGGGCAGAGAGACAGGAAACACAGGGAUAAAUACACUGGCACUGAGAGACAGGAAACACAGGGAUAAAUACACUGGCACAGAGAGACAGGAAACACAGGGAUAAAUACACUGGCACAGAGAGACAGGAAACACAGGGAUAAAUACACUGGCACAGAGAGACAGGAAACACAGGGAUAAAUACACUGGGGCAGAGAGACAGGAAACACAGGGAUAAAUACACUGGCACUG
RNAcentral lists this long non-coding RNA (1073 nucleotides) under Salmo salar (Atlantic salmon). RNAcentral's name for it is "lncRNA (ENSSSAG00000081735.1)". Lineage: Eukaryota; Metazoa; Chordata; Actinopteri; Salmoniformes; Salmonidae. The record is from RNAcentral.